RNAcentral lists this ribosomal RNA (450 nucleotides) under uncultured bacterium. Its description in RNAcentral is "partial 16S ribosomal RNA". It matches the Rfam family "Bacterial small subunit ribosomal RNA", at positions 354 to 796 of the family's 1533-position model. The record is from RNAcentral.
GUGGGGAAUCUUCCGCAAUGGACGAAAGUCUGACGGAGCAACGCCGCGUGAGUGAAGAAGGUCUUCGGAUUGUAAAGCUCUGUUAAUCGGGACGAAAGAGCCUAGUGUGAAUAAUGCUAGGAAGUGACGGUACCGGAAUAGAAAGCCACGGCUAACUACGUGCCAGCAGCCGCGGUAAUACGUAGGUGGCAAGCGUUGUCCGGAAUUAUUGGGCGUAAAGCGCGCGCAGGCGGAUCUGCCAGUCUGUCUUAAAAGUUCGGGGCUUAACCCCGUGAUGGGAUGGAAACUACAGAUCUAGAGUAUCGGAGAGGAAAGUGGAAUUCCUAGUGUAGCGGUGAAAUGCGUAGAUAUUAGGAAGAACACCAGUGGCGAAGGCGACUUUCUGGACGAAAACUGACGCUGAGGCGCGAAAGCCAGGGGAGCGAACGGGAUUAGAUACCCCAGUAGUCC